AAAUCUUCUUGUAACAGUUUGGGAGCUGGCAGCGUCAUAGAGUGAACUGAAAUACGCCAAAUGUAGGUCAUGUUCCUUUUUCCCUACUACUAAUUCUUUGAAUCAUCUUUGGCAACUCAUUUUCAUUUUCUUUUCUGUUCUUUGAAAUACAGGACUGCUGCAGUGGUCUGAUACAAUUUCUGGAAGGGAGGUUGGAGAGCAGGGAAGGAAAUACACAUUGUUCUGCAGUAGAAUGCUUAGGAAUUUGUGCAGUCCAAUGUCAUGCAGCUGUACCAGCAAUGGAAGAAAUAUGGCGACAAUUAUGUGGGAUGUUCUUUGGAGUUAAACUUUCUAUUUGGCAGAGGUUAGUCACUCCAGUAUCAAAUGACUUUUUGUUGUUGUUGUUGUUAGUUUGCUCCUUCCAGUGCGCUCUUCCUUGGCUGCUAG
RNAcentral lists this long non-coding RNA (426 nucleotides) under Anser brachyrhynchus (Pink-footed goose). RNAcentral describes it as "lncRNA (ENSABRG00000018843.1)". The record is from RNAcentral. Lineage: Eukaryota; Metazoa; Chordata; Aves; Anseriformes; Anatidae.